AGUCGAGCGGACAGAAGGGAGCUUGCUCCCGGAUGUUAGCGGCGGACGGGUGAGUAACACGUGGGUAACCUGCCUGUAAGACUGGGAUAACUCCGGGAAACCGGAGCUAAUACCGGAUAGUUCCUUGAACCGCAUGGUUCAAGGAUGAAAGACGGUUUCGGCUGUCACUUACAGAUGGACCCGCGGCGCAUUAGCUAGUUGGUGGGGUAAUGGCUCACCAAGGCGACGAUGCGUAGCCGACCUGAGAGGGUGAUCGGCCACACUGGGACUGAGACACGGCCCAGACUCCUACGGGAGGCAGCAGUAGGGAAUCUUCCGCAAUGGACGAAAGUCUGACGGAGCAACGCCGCGUGAGUGAUGAAGGUUUUCGGAUCGUAAAGCUCUGUUGUUAGGGAAGAACAAGUGCGAGAGUAACUGCUCGCACCUUGACGGUACCUAACCAGAAAGCCACGGCUAACUACGUGCCAGCAGCCGCGGUAAUACGUAGGUGGCAAGCGUUGUCCGGAAUUAUUGGGCGUAAAGGGCUCGCAGGCGGUUUCUUAAGUCUGAUGUGAAAGCCCCCGGCUCAACCGGGGAGGGUCAUUGGAAACUGGGAAACUUGAGUGCAGAAGAGGAGAGUG
RNAcentral lists this ribosomal RNA (620 nucleotides) under Bacillus pumilus. Its description in RNAcentral is "bacterial SSU rRNA". It matches the Rfam family "Bacterial small subunit ribosomal RNA", at positions 60 to 663 of the family's 1533-position model. The record is from RNAcentral. Lineage: Bacteria; Bacillati; Bacillota; Bacilli; Caryophanales; Bacillaceae.